Manduca sexta (tobacco hornworm) is the source of this 1068-nucleotide long non-coding RNA. RefSeq lists it as uncharacterized. The record is from RefSeq and is a predicted model, not a curated record. The transcript is spliced from 2 exons. Lineage: Eukaryota; Metazoa; Arthropoda; Insecta; Lepidoptera; Sphingidae.
UUGGCAGUACUGGAAGUUUAUUUCAAAUUUAAAUUUGGCUGCUAAAACUUUUUGGCGGGCUGCGAUUUGAAGAAGUUGUGAUUGAACUGAUUUUGUGAACAGAUUUUUUUGGAUUUUUCAAGAUGGCUAAUCGAAGAUGGACUGGUUCUGAUGAUGAAAUAAGCGCCUAUUUAGUUGACUUAGAUGGUAAUGAAUCAGAAGAUGGGGCUGAAGAAGAAGAAAUUGAGGAAAAUGAUGAAGAGGUGCAGUUUUAUAGGGACCGAGACGAAAUUCGUCGAGUUUUGGAAUCUGAACCAGAAGAGGCUGAUGAUAUUCCUUUCGAAGGCGAAUCUCUUGGUCCUACGUACGUAGACCCCAAUGAAGAGGAUCCUCCAAUAAUCCAAGAUCCAGAAAUGGAACAGGAACCUGCUGUUCGUAACGGGCAAACUCCACGUCAAGCGAUGAGAAGAUUAUUAUGGAAAAAGCAGGGUAUGAAAACAUCUGAAGAUGACAUAGCUUUUUUGGGUAAUUUACAAUAUGGUGAGCUGGAGUCUUUAGAUACAAUGUAUGGUUUCUUUUCAUUUUUCCUUUCUGAUGACCUCUUAGAGAAAAUUGUUCGAGAAGCUAAUUUAUAUGCUAUCCAGAAAGACCCUAAUUCCACUUUUUCAACCAGUAUCACAGAGGUCCGAAAUUACAUAGGUAUAUUAUAUUUUAUGUCUGUAAUAAAAUACCCGAAUGUUAGAAUGUAUUGGUCUCCUAAGUAUGGGUUUGCUCAUAUAUAUAAUUGCAUGACAAUAAAUCGUUUUGAGAAACUCAAAAGCUUAUUACAUUUCAACAACAAUGAAUCACUCAAUCAAGUCUGUUCCAAGGGGAUCUUAUGAAGAACAGAUGACCACCUAUGAUGGUACAGAUAUUUCUGUAACCAUGUGGAAAGAUAACAAAAUAGUUACUUUGUUAUCGACUUAUGUGGGAGUUGAUCCAGUCCAAAAAAUAAAUAGAUACGACAAAACUAAAAAAGAAAAAAUUCAAAUUGAUUGCCCACAGAUUGUCAAAGACUACAACUCCCACAUGGGUGGCGUGGAUCUCCUU